AACGAACGCUGGCGGCAUGCCUAACACAUGCAAGUCGAACGAGACCUUCGGGUCUAGUGGCGCACGGGUGCGUAACGCGUGGGAACCUGCCCUUAGGUUCGGAAUAACUCCCCGAAAGGGGUGCUAAUACCGGAUAAUGUCUUCGGACCAAAGAUUUAUCGCCGUUGGAUGGGCCCGCGUUGGAUUAACUAGUUGGUAGGGUAAAAGCCUACCAAGGCGACGCUCGAUAGCUGGGCUGAGAGGAUGAUCAGCCACACUGGGACUGAGACACGGCCGAGACUCCUACGGGAGGCAGCAGUGGGGAAUAUUGGCAAAUGGGCGAAAGCAUGAUCCAGCAAUGCCGCGUGAGUGAUGAAGGCCUUAGGGUUGUAAAGCUCUUUUACCCGGGAUGAUAAUGACAGUACCGGGAGAAUAAGCUCCGGCUAACUCCGUG
RNAcentral lists this ribosomal RNA (433 nucleotides) under uncultured bacterium. RNAcentral's name for it is "partial 16S ribosomal RNA". It matches the Rfam family "Bacterial small subunit ribosomal RNA", at positions 29 to 507 of the family's 1533-position model. The record is from RNAcentral.